RNAcentral lists this ribosomal RNA (303 nucleotides) under uncultured bacterium. Its description in RNAcentral is "partial 16S ribosomal RNA". It matches the Rfam family "Bacterial small subunit ribosomal RNA", at positions 507 to 807 of the family's 1533-position model. The record is from RNAcentral.
AGCAGUAGCCGCGGGAAUACGUAGGGUGCGAGCGUUAAUCGGAAUUACUGGGCGUAAAGCGUGCGCAGGCGGUUUUGUAAGACAGGCGUGAAAUCCCCGGGCUCAACCUGGGAAUGGCGCUUGUGACUGCAAAGCUAGAGUGCGGCAGAGGGGGAUGGAAUUCCGCGUGUAGCAGUGAAAUGCGUAGAUAUGCGGAGGAACACCGAUGGCGAAGGCAAUCCCCUGGGCCUGCGCUGACGCUCAUGCACGAAAGCGUGGGGAGCGAACAGGAUUAGAUACCCGCGUAGUCCCUGUCUCUUAUAC